UGUGAAAUUCCCGGGCUCAACCUGGGAACUGCAUUUGUGACUGCCUGACUAGAAUCCCGCAAAAGGGAAUCGAAUUCCGCGUGUAGCAGUGAAAUGCGUAGAUAUGCGGAGGAACACCGAUGGCGAAGGCAACUCCCUGGGCCUGCACUGACGCUCAUGCACGAAAGCGUGGGGAGCAAACAGGAUUAGAUACCCUGGUAGUCCACGCCCUAAACGAUGUCGACUAGUUGUUGGACGGGUUACUGUUCAGUAACGAAGCUAACGCGUGAAGUCGACCGCCUGGGGAGUACGGCCGCAAGGUUAAAACUCAAAGGAAUUGACGGGGACCCGCACAAGCGGUGGAUGAUGUGGUUUAAUUCGAUGCAACGCGAAAAACCUUACCUACCCUUGACAUGCCAGGAACUUACCAGAGAUGGUUUGGUGCUCGAAAGAGAGCCUGGACACAGGUGCUGCAUGGCUGUCGUCAGCUCGUGUCGUGAGAUGUUGGGUUAAGUCCCGCAACGAGCGCAACCCUUGUCAUUAGUUGCUACGCAAGAGCACUCUAAUGAGACCGCCGGUGACAAACCGGAGGAAGGUGGGGAUGACGUCAAGUCCUCAUGGCCCUUAUGGGUAGGGCUACACACGUCAUACAAUGGGCGGUACAGAGGGUUGCCAACCCGCGAGGGGGAGCCAAUCCCUUAAAACCGCUCGUAGUCCGGAUUGUAGUCUGCAACUCGACUGCAUGAAGUCGGAAUCGCUAGUAAUCGCGGAUCAGCUUGCCGCGGUGAAUACGUUCCCGGGUCUUGUACACACCGCCCGUCACACCAUGGAAGUGGGGUUUACCAGAAGUAGUUAGCUUAACCGAAAGGGGGGCGAUUACCACGGUAGGCUUCAUGACUGGGGUGAAGUCGUAACAAGGUAGCCGUAUCGGAAGGUGCGGCUGGAUCACCUCCU
RNAcentral lists this ribosomal RNA (933 nucleotides) under uncultured Thiomonas sp. RNAcentral describes it as "bacterial SSU rRNA". It matches the Rfam family "Bacterial small subunit ribosomal RNA", at positions 593 to 1531 of the family's 1533-position model. The record is from RNAcentral. Lineage: Bacteria; Pseudomonadati; Pseudomonadota; Betaproteobacteria; Burkholderiales.